GAUGAACGCUGGCGGCGUGCCUAAUACAUGCCAGUCGAGCGAACAGACGAGGAGCUUGCUCCUCUGACGUUAGCGGCGGACGGGUGAGUAACACGUGGAUAACCUACCUAUAAGACUGGGAUAACUUCGGGAAACCGGAGCUAAUACCGGAUAAUAUAUUGAACCGCAUGGUUCAAUAGUGAAAGACGGUUUUGCUGUCACUUAUAGAUGGAUCCGCGCCGCAUUAGCUAGUUGGUAAGGUAACGGCUUACCAAGGCAACGAUGCGUAGCCGACCUGAGAGGGUGAUAGGCCACACUGGAACUGAGACACGGUCCAGACUCCUCCGGGAGGCAGCAGUAGGGAAUCUUCCGCAAUGGGCGAAAGCCUGACGGAGCAACGCCGCGUGAGUGAUGAAGGUCUUCGGAUCGUAAAACUCUGUUAUUAGGGAAGAACAAAUGUGUAAGUACCUAUGCACGUCUUGACGGUACCUAAUCAGAAAGCCACGGCUAACUACGUG
Molecule: ribosomal RNA, 497 nt
Filed under: uncultured bacterium
Lineage: Bacteria
Description: partial 16S ribosomal RNA
Rfam family: Bacterial small subunit ribosomal RNA
Source: RNAcentral